This is a long non-coding RNA of Passer domesticus (house sparrow), 1797 nucleotides long. RefSeq lists it as uncharacterized. Lineage: Eukaryota; Metazoa; Chordata; Aves; Passeriformes; Passeridae. The transcript is spliced from 2 exons. The record is from RefSeq and is a predicted model, not a curated record.
GGUGAUGUCUUUUGGUUCUGAUUCCACCAGUCCUUGUCCCAGUGGAAUAGAAGUAUUUUGAACAAACUGAACCAGCAGCUGAAAAAACAUACUGAAGAUUAGGUCAAGAGCAGCACAAAUCAUGUAAAAAGCAAAGAAUUGUUUGUCAUCUCUGAAAUACCUACAAACUUCUCAUUCAACAUAUAAUCAACAGCUCUGGAUCAUUGCAAAGUAAGUCCAGUUAGGCUAUAUUUCUUUUUAAUUAACAUUUUACCACUUGAUACUUUAUUAUGGUCUAACAUUUCAAGGUAAUGUUUUCCACACUCAGCCUUUGAUACAGGUAUUUUUUUAAAUCAUUGUCUUUAAAUACUUAACUGAAAGCUGGCCUUUUCUAAAUUAACAAAAAAGCAAUCAGAAGACUAGUUACAAAGAUGUCUAUCACAUGGCUAUUCAAAAGCAGAUAACAAUCAGAGAAACUGUUGGGAUUACAAGGGGAAGAACACAGACAGCCUUACCCAUCCAAACCAACUACUCCUAAAACCAUCAAAUAUGGACAACCAACCCACCAACUAAGGGGAUUAACAGAAGAAACCCUCUCCAAAUUACUACACGAAACAAGGGGGACUAUUGCAUACAGAGGUACAGGACUUAAACUGAGAUGCAUUCCCUGGGGAGGAAUUUGGGACUGGUCAAAAGAUUUUGAGGGAUUUGUACAGGACUUAUUAGGCAUUGUUUAAGGGAAGGGCCUAAGGCAGGAAAAGGAAAAGAUCAAGAUGGAUCAGGGCAGAACAAACAUAAGAAAAUGGAGAGGGGAGGAUAAAAGGGGCCCAUUGCACAUAAGCAGGAAGUUGGUCAAUUCAGUUGUCUGGCACAGCCUAACUCUUACCCUGCAUCCUGUCUUCUUAUUAAACUCCAUUCUUACCUGCUUCCUGUGUGGUCCUGCUCUCUACAGUGGGUCUCUAGUGGCACACACCAAUUUCUAGUGCUUGUCAUAUGCUAAUGAACCCCAAGACAGCCUAGUUAGCAAGUGAAAUGAGAAGUGUGGGGAUAGAUCCCAAAGAAAUCCAUGAAGGUUAUCCUUAGGCAGCAGCCCUUGAACACAGACCCAGGUACUUUGUGCUGCCCAUGUUUAUGAGGAUAAAGCUACAAGCACUCAGCCUGUGUUCAUUUUGAUUUAACAAAGGAAGUGCUGCUGGAAGUUAGGAGACAACGCAGUCCAACUUUUGCAGUGGACUGAACAAAUUCUGUGAACUGCAUGAGCUUUUUUAAACACGGUCUCAAAUCCCUCCCCUGUAGGGAUUUACACUUCAGAAGGACAGAAGGGGGCCAGUUGUAACACACCCAGACACAUACUCCACAUUUCAGUGAAAAUACUGCUCAAACCCUGCAUGUAGGAUCUAUUUGUUUGCCUUUAAGUUCUGUCAAACAAAUUAACUCAUAUACUCACAUCUACAGGGUUUUUUUUAAACACUAAAUGAAGAAAUAUGGACAAUAACAAUAUACUAAAAAGUCAAAUCUCAAAUUCCUUAUCUCUAGGAAACUCCUUGACAAAAAUCCUGCAUUCUGCUGAUUCUGCUGCUGUCUAGCAAACAAUUGUAUGUAGCAAACUUUUAUCUUUGGCAUUUAGAAGGAAAUUGUACAAGACAGUUACUCAAAAGCUACUACCCUCAUUGUGACACAUUUCAACAUGCAGUCACAGAGAGCCCAGAUGGAAUUCUCUGUUCACUGAGAUAGCACAUCAGUGUCAAAAGAAAAAGACUAAAAAAUCCUGAUGUGCCUAUUGUAUAUUUGUGAUUAAAACUCAACAUUCACAGAUAA